CUACGGGGUGCUGCAGUGAGGAAUAUUGCACAAUGGGGGAAACCCUGAUGCAGCAACGCCGCGUGGAGGAUGACGCAUUUCGGUGUGUAAACUCCUUUUAUAUGUCAAGAAAAUGACGGUAGCAUAUGAAUAAGCACCGGCUAACUCCGUGCCAGCAGCCGCGGUAAUACGGAGGGUGCAAGCGUUACUCGGAAUCACUGGGCGUAAAGGACGCGUAGGCUGGUUGGUAAGUCAGGUGUGAAAUCCUACAGCUUAACUGUAGAACUGCACUUGAAACUACCAACCUAGAGUAUGGGAGGGGGAGAUGGAAUUAGUGGUGUAGGGGUAAAAUCCGUAGAUAUCACUAGGAAUACCGAAAGCGAAGGCGAUCUCCUGGAACAUAACUGACGCUAAGGCGUGAAAGCGUGGGGAGCAAACAGGAUUAGAUACCCCCGUAGUC
This 439-nucleotide ribosomal RNA is filed under the name uncultured bacterium. RNAcentral describes it as "partial 16S ribosomal RNA". It matches the Rfam family "Bacterial small subunit ribosomal RNA", at positions 339 to 795 of the family's 1533-position model. The record is from RNAcentral.